UACGGGGGGUGCAAGCGUUGUUCGGAAUUAUUGGGCGUAAAGAGCUCGUAGGCGGUCUGUCGCGUCGGCUGUGAAAUCCCGAGGCUCAACCUCGGGUCUGCAGUCGAUACGGGCAAACUAGAGUAUUGCAGGGGAGACUGGAAUUCCUGGUGUAGCGGUGAAAUGCGCAGAUAUCAGGAGGAACACCGGUGGCGAAGGCGGGUCUCUGGGCAAUAACUGACGCUGAGGAGCGAAAGCGUGGGGAGCGAACAGG
RNAcentral lists this ribosomal RNA (253 nucleotides) under uncultured bacterium. RNAcentral describes it as "partial 16S ribosomal RNA". It matches the Rfam family "Bacterial small subunit ribosomal RNA", at positions 524 to 776 of the family's 1533-position model. The record is from RNAcentral.